CCUACGGGAGGCAGCAGUGGGGAAUAUUGGGCAAUGGGCGAAAGGCUGAACCAGCAACGCCGCGUGAAGGAAGAAGGCUUUAGGGGUGUAAACUUCUUUUGACAGGGAAGAGCAGAAGACGGUACCUGUCGAAUAAGCCAUGGCUAACUACGUGCCAGCAGCCGCGGUAAUACGUAGGUGGGAAGCGUUGUCCGGAUUUACGGGGUGUAAAGGGCGUGUAGCCGGGCGGACAAGUCAGGUGUGAAAUCCGGGGGCUCAACCCCCGAACUGCAUCUGAAACUGUGUGUCUUGAGUAUCGGAGAGGCAGGCGGAAUUCCUAGUGUAGCGGUGAAAUGCGUAGAUAUUAGGAGGAACCCCAGUGGCGAAGGCGGCCUGCUGGACGGCAACUGACGGUGAGGCGCGAAAGCGUGGGGAGCAAACAGGAUUAGAUACCCGGGUAGUC
RNAcentral lists this ribosomal RNA (442 nucleotides) under uncultured bacterium. RNAcentral's name for it is "partial 16S ribosomal RNA". It matches the Rfam family "Bacterial small subunit ribosomal RNA", at positions 338 to 795 of the family's 1533-position model. The record is from RNAcentral.